This 280-nucleotide unclassified non-coding RNA is filed under the name Hevea brasiliensis (rubber tree). The record is from RNAcentral. Lineage: Eukaryota; Viridiplantae; Streptophyta; Magnoliopsida; Malpighiales; Euphorbiaceae.
CGGAGAUGGCGCUGCAGCGGUCCAACGAGACCUUCAGGCGAUCAGGCUCCUCCGGCAUGGUGUGGGAGGACCGCUUCCUCCCCGACAAAGCCAAGAAGGACGAAUCCGCCCCCGCCGCCCCCGCCGCCGAGCUCCGCCACUCGAGGAGCGUCGGAUCCACCGCCGUCCUUGACCGCAGCCAAUCCAACGGCGGCCGCGGGUUUCGCACCGGUCGCAUCUCGCCGGCGCUGGACCCUCCCUCACCGAAAGUCUCCGCCUGCGGGUUCUGCAGCAUCUUCGG